UUUUAAUUUGGUAAGGAGUAAUUUAAUUUUUUAUUUUAGCGAUCGUCACGCACAGUUUGCUCCUUCCUGCUGUCUUUUGAGCUAGGUCUUUCUUUCCUUUAGUGUUCCUUGAGUACAUUUAACAACAAAGGUAAUUCCCGCAAAGGAAAAAUAAUACACGACCAUUCUUAAUUUGUUUGUUAUAGAUACUUUAUUGACUUUGAACGCAUAUUAUCGAUGAUAAUAAAUCGACACUAAUUCUGUUUAAUAUAAUAUUAAUUAAUUUGUACUUUGAUGGCAUAUAUCUUGACAAAAAAGCGGUAUGCAAAGAUUCAAUUAUGACUG
Molecule: non-coding RNA, 324 nt
Organism: Schizosaccharomyces pombe (fission yeast)
Lineage: Eukaryota; Fungi; Ascomycota; Schizosaccharomycetes; Schizosaccharomycetales; Schizosaccharomycetaceae
Source: the annotation of a GenBank genome assembly